This 496-nucleotide ribosomal RNA is filed under the name uncultured bacterium. RNAcentral describes it as "partial 16S ribosomal RNA". It matches the Rfam family "Bacterial small subunit ribosomal RNA", at positions 28 to 507 of the family's 1533-position model. The record is from RNAcentral.
GAUGAACGCUGGCGGCGUGCCUAAUACAUGCAAGUCGAGCGAACGGACGAGAAGCUUGCUUUUCUGAUGUUAGCGGCGGACGGGUGAGUAACACGUGGAUAACCUACCUAUAAGACUGGGAUAACUUCGGGAAACCGGAGCUAAUACCGGAUAAUAUUUUGAACCGCAUGGUUCAAAAGUGAAAGACGGUCUUGCUGUCACUUAUAGAUGGAUCCGCGCUGCAUUAGCUAGUUGGUAAGGUAACGGCUUACCAAGGCAACGAUGCAUAGCCGACCUGAGAGGGUGAUCGGCCACACUGGAACUGAGACACGGUCCAGACUCCUACGGGAGGCAGCAGUAGGGAAUCUUCCGCAAUGGGCGAAAGCCUGACGGAGCAACGCGGCGUGAGUGAUGAAGGUCUUCGGAUCGUAAAACUCUGUAUUAGGGAAGAACAUAUGUGUAAGUAACUGUGCACAUCUUGACGGUACCUAAUCAGAAAGCCACGGCUAACUACGUG